GACGGAGGAUGCAAGUGUUAUCCGGAAUCACUGGGCGUAAAGCGUCUGUAGGUGGUUUAAUAAGUCAACUGUUAAAUCUUGAGGCCUAACCUCAAAACCGCAGUCGAAACUAUUAGACUAGAGUAUAGUAGGGGUAAAGGGAAUUUCCAGUGGAGCGGUGAAAUGCGUAGAGAUUGGAAAGAACACCGAUGGCGAAGGCACUUUACUGGGCUAUUACUAACACUGAGAGACGAAAGCUAGGGUAGCAAACAGG
This 253-nucleotide ribosomal RNA is filed under the name uncultured bacterium. RNAcentral's name for it is "partial 16S ribosomal RNA". It matches the Rfam family "Bacterial small subunit ribosomal RNA", at positions 524 to 776 of the family's 1533-position model. The record is from RNAcentral.